RNAcentral lists this ribosomal RNA (1246 nucleotides) under Candidatus Phytoplasma wodyetiae ('Wodyetia bifurcata' yellow decline phytoplasma). Its description in RNAcentral is "bacterial SSU rRNA". It matches the Rfam family "Bacterial small subunit ribosomal RNA", at positions 153 to 1399 of the family's 1533-position model. Lineage: Bacteria; Bacillati; Mycoplasmatota; Mollicutes; Acholeplasmatales; Acholeplasmataceae. The record is from RNAcentral.
GGAACGACUGCUAAGACUGGAUAGGAGACAAGAAGGCAUCUUCUUUUUUUAAAAGACCUAGCAAUAGGUAUGCUUAGGGAGGAGCUUGCGUCACAUUAGUUAGUUGGUGGGGUAAAGGCCUACCAAGACUAUGAUGUGUAGCCGGGCUGAGAGGUUGAACGGCCACAUUGGGACUGAGACACGGCCCAAACUCCUACGGGAGGCAGCAGUAGGGAAUUUUCGGCAAUGGAGGAAACUCUGACCGAGCAACGCCGCGUGAACGAUGAAGUAUUUCGGUACGUAAAGUUCUUUUAUUAGGGAAGAAUAAAUGAUGGAAAAAUCAUUCUGACGGUACCUAAUGAAUAAGCCCCGGCUAACUAUGUGCCAGCAGCCGCGGUAAUACAUAGGGGGCAAGCGUUAUCCGGAAUUAUUGGGCGUAAAGGGUGCGUAGGCGGUUAAAUAAGUUUAUGGUCUAAGUGCAAUGCUCAACAUUGUGAUGCUAUAAAAACUGUUUAGCUAGAGUAAGAUAGAGGCAAGUGGAAUUCCAUGUGUAGUGGUAAAAUGCGUAAAUAUAUGGAGGAACACCAGUAGCGAAGGCGGCUUGCUGGGUCUUUACUGACGCUGAGUCACGAAAGCGUGGGGAGCAAACAGGAUUAGAUACCCUGGUAGUCCACGCCGUAAACGAUGAGUACUAAACGUUGGGUAAAACCAGUGUUGAAGUUAACACAUUAAGUACUCCGCCUGAGUAGUACGUACGCAAGUAUGAAACUUAAAGGAAUUGACGGGACUCCGCACAAGCGGUGGAUCAUGUUGUUUAAUUCGAAAGGUACCCGAAAAACCUCACCAGGUCUUGACAUGCUUCUGCAAAGCUGUAGAAACACAGUGGAGGUUAUCAGUUGCACAGGUGGUGCAUGGUUGUCGUCAGCUCGUGUCGUGAGAUGUUGGGUUAAGUCCCGCAACGAGCGCAACCCUUAUUGUUAGUUACCAGCACGUAAUGGUGGGGACUUUAGCAAGACUGCCAGUGAUAAAUUGGAGGAAGGUGGGGACGACGUCAAAUCAUCAUGCCCCUUAUGACCUGGGCUACAAACGUGAUACAAUGGCUGUUACAAAGGGUAGCUGAAGCGCAAGUUUUUGGCGAAUCUCAAAAAAACAGUCUCAGUUCGGAUUGAAGUCUGCAACUCGACUUCAUGAAGUUGGAAUCGCUAGUAAUCGCGAAUCAGCAUGUCGCGGUGAAUACGUUCUCGGGGUUUGUACACACGGCCCGUCA